AAUGACUGGAGGCAUUUAGCAGGAGCGGAACAGCGUUAGACAUCCUAGAGCUCACAGGAUGGUCUUCUACACAAAGUAUUGUCUCUCUUCACACGUGACUUUCAGGUACUCUUCUGGAUACGCAUGUGUUUCAUUAUCUGAGCUUGGAACUGAACUCCCUUUUACAUAAAGAUACAAGGUGGUUUUGAGAAAGUGAGAUUCACUUCUGUCAUGAAUUUAGGCCUUGGAGUGCAUUAAUCCAGGUUAUGAAUUGCUCCAAGAGGCUGGACCUGAGCAAAGCACAGUUUUGAUAUCCUUACUCACUUCUCAGCUGUUAUUACCCCGAUGUUGGAGGUGGACACUCGUGUCUUCUUGAUGUCCCUAAUCACCACUGUGGCACCACAUCCAAGAGAAGAAAAUGAAAGCUCUUCCAUGUAUCUUCUUGAACGUUGUAGAAUGAGCAUUGCAGCAUAAAUCACCCAAAAUUCAUCAGCUCUGACAUAUCAUCAAAGAAGAGGAAAGACUUCUAAUGAGUCAUCUGGAUGUUGCUGGCAGAGGUGAGACAUCAAGAGGUUCAAGAGGUCUUCAUACGAUCCCUGGUUUUUCCAUCUACCAAGGAUGGAUAAGGCUGAGGAUAUAAUUAAGCAAUAGAAACAGCAAAACUAGAGAUGGUACUCUGCAAACAUGUUCCAUGAGGAGACAGAAAGAAUCUACCAAGCCUAUAGGCAUUACACAGACGCAGAUCCAGAAGACCCUAAGAACCUCAAGAUGAUGAAUAUGACUUUCAUAGGACAAAGUGCCCCAGACCUUACAAGGAAGCUAGAGAAACUGGAUGGGCAUUAGGUCGACCUACCCAUCUGAUUUCGCUUUACAUUCUUACCAGCUGGAUGACAGAGUCCUGUUCAAAAGCUGGAAAGAACAAGGUCUUGAGCAUCAGCUGUCUGCUAAAUGGACAGGCUGCUUUCACCACCUGUUCUUCCAUGGAGCUCUCUGGAGUAAAACCGUGGAUACAUUGAAUCCAGAUAAAACAAGCUCUACCAGAAGAGACAACAGAGCAACCUGAGACCACCUCCUGAAAGUGCGAACACAUCAAGGAUUUAAGAUGUGUAUUCUGUAAAGUUCCUUAAUCUUUACACAAUACUUAGGACAAAUACAAGGAAUCAAGUAUGCUUUAACAUGUCCUCUAGCGCUCAAGAGACAAUUUGUUUCUGUUUUGCUAUUAAUGGUUAUGAGAUUGCCUCAUGUCAGUUAUAACUUCUGCCUCCAGAAACAUCUUCCCUUUCUGAUUGUUGGUUACUGAUCAUGGAGAAAAGUCACUAACUUUGAUCCCCUGACAGAUGGCCACAAUACCCACUUUAAUUCUAUGAGGCUAGUAUUUUUAUAUGAUAUAAACACCUAGACAUUAAUUUGGACUUUAUGGGGUACAUUUAUUAUAUAGGACAGACUUUAGGGAAAACUGCUUGGGAACUUCUCCCAGGGAAGGUUUUUGGUAGAGAUAUAAUCAGGACUAGAGCCACCAAGUAUCAGCAUUAUUAUGUUGCCAUUGGAAUCAAUGAUGAGUUGCUAAAAAAAAAAUACCAGGUUAUAACAGCAGUUACUUAGCCAAACCUUGUGUUUCCUGUCAUAGUGCCAUGUGUCCCCAUUCCCCUCAGCCAUGUUUUUGUGGAUGGGUACCAAAAACCAAAUCUUCUAAUAAGAAGGGAUGAUCACAUGCAGUAGGAGUAAAAUGGUGGACCACUGCUAACAAAGGACAAAAAGAGAUUUUAGGAUCAUUCGGGGCUAGAUUGAGUGUAUUGGGCCAAGUGGAAAUGGCAUUUGAUAAAAACUAUCACAGGCAAGAGAUGCAAUAUUUAAUGGCAUCAGGAAAAUUAGGUGGAUUAUUGUUUCAAGAAGAAGGAAAGGGUUGGGAAGCAGUCUGGAAGACCAACCAAGCUUUAGACAAAUGGAUAAGCAAAACUCAGGAAAUAAUGACAAAAUAUGCUGAGUCUCAACUGUGGGAAAAGGCAUGUGCCUCUACCCAGCAAAGCUUAAUAGACAUGCUUCUCUAAAUGGAAUCAGAAGUAGCAAUGAAACAAUGGCCCACUAUCUUAACAGCUGAGGCCCAAGAAACCCACUUAUGGGAAAAUAUGGGACACCAAACAUAUGGGAAAUAAUUGAAGGAAUUUUAAGUCUACACUGUUGUUCUCUGACUGCCUUAGUACUCAAAUUAAGAAAAGAUUUCAAACAUGAAGUAGUACAGCUUGUAGGAAUAGAUACCCUCCACAACAAUUACCAAAUACUUCCUAUGGGAAGUUUCUGGACCCUCUUUUCCUUGCAUAACUCAAUGGGAACCAAUUUCAGUUAUGAGUUGUAAAUAACGAAAUGGUUACAUUGGCUAUUCCAACAUAUGGCUAUGCCCACAACAGCAAUGGAACUCAGAGGUAAGUCUGACUUGGCCUGUGGUAAGAACUCUGGUUCAAGAUACAUUUGGUACAUGGAAAAAGGGAGAUUCUGUUGGGAAGGUGCCAUGAAUCAUACUGAUUCGUCCGUUUGAUCUGAUAAUCGUCCGUUUAUCAGAUCCUUAUCGUGACCAAACUGAGUUCAUAAUGAAUUUGUCUAAUAUCUGGUGUACUACAGAGGUUACAGGUAAAGUUCAUUUGCUGGAAACUAACAAAACCUGUGAUAACACUGAUGAAGAAGACUAUACCUAUCAGGAGUUAGAACUGAGACCCUCCACAAAGGUAAACUUAUAGAAGAUAAAUGGCCUAAGCAAAAUCUAAACUUAGCAUCUCAAGAAGUCCAGAGGUUCUUGAACAAGCUGGAGUAAUUGAACACCAGGCAGAGGUCACUGUUACAGAGAGGGGAAAGAGAAUCAUUCAGUUAAUCCAAAAAUAUGCAGAAGUUUGUUCUGGUUUCAUCAGAUGGCUCUCUUGUCUGAUUGGGUCUGCCUCUAGUAGUGAUAAAAUCUUAAAAGUUACCUUUUUUGCCUCCUUCUGAUAAUUUGUAUCCUUUUCUUACCCUGAGGUUGUGUUAACUGAUAAAAUGGAAAAAAAACUAAAGUCUCAAACAGUGUUAAUCAACACUGUUGCUCGAGAAUACUUUCAAAUCAAGUUUCGUCAGUUCCAUUCCUCUAUUCUCUAUGAUGCCCCUUGUCAGCAGGAAGUAGCCAGAUAGAAAUGAUAGCCAUAUAAGAUUAUAGAAUGGAUAACUGACAGUGAGAAAUUGAUACUGGCCUGAAGUAAGUUUGAUAUGAGGGAAGCUAUGUUGUAACUUAGAAUAACCUCUGACUAAACCACCCAAGCUGUAUGUUUUACCUUGCACUAGCCUAGGAGAUAAAUAGCUACCCUCUAGGAAAUAAUCCUGGCUGACAAAUGUACAGCCCAAUAGAUAUGGAUGAUAACUUUGUUAUUUUGAGUUUCUUAGGAACAUGGUGACCUCCUCAGAGAAGAACAUCUAUGCUGGCAUAUAUCAUCGAAGACAACUGAAAGACCUGUGGCAUCUCCAGUCACUGAUGCCAGAUAGUCAAUGUUCCUGAGCCCCUCCUUCAUAGCUCACUAGUCUCUAUACAACUGCCUCAAGAUUAUAUGCUUGUUUAAGAUGGUCUUUGGGACAUGAGCCUACCGUCUUCUGAUUUUGCUGGCUAAUCAAAUUAAUUCCUUUCUCAACCACUGACUCAUUUGUAGUUGAUUGCCUUCAGGGUUGUGGCAAGCAGAAUGAGCCCUUGCUUGGUUACAGAAUUUGUCUGACUUCCAAAUGUUUGGGAAUAAGAUAACUGGAGAGUCUGAUCAGCACCUGCCAAGGGUGUCAUUGCUGAAGACUGGUCCUGUGCAGUUCAGAUCCUUAGCUGUGUGUCCCACACAUGCUCACUUGUUGUUUCCAAGCUCAGAAAUUGUGCUAGGUUGGCUGGGUCAAAGUGAAGGUUAUGUUGGUAGCACUGUCUCAUGCUACCCUAGAUCUAGCCUCUGAGCUUCAGGGCCCUCUAUUGUGCCCAGGCCAUUAGAUACCUCCUGCCUUGUGGUGAGAUCUCUUUGGUGCCCCGCAUAUCCUUUCCUCUCAGCAGACCUAAAGGGCCAGGAGCAACUGGUCCAGCCAAGGUGCUGGGAAUUAGAAUCUGGGAAUAAGUUCAGGGCUGGGAUCUCAGAAGACUCCUGGGCUGCUAUUGAAAACUCAUCCUCUCCUUCCAGGAGAUUUGCCUCCCAGGGAGUGGUAGCUUUUGCUAAAGUCUGGAUGUAAGAGUAUCCUCUGUGGUCUGACUGCUUGACUUUGAAUCCUGGCUUUACCAUUUCUAAGCUGAGUAAUCUUGUGCAAUUUGCUUAAUCUGUUUAAGAUUCAAUUUGCUCAUCUGUGAAAGAGGGUUUAUUAGAGUACCUUCCCCUUAGGAUCCCCAAGAGGAUUAAAUGAGGUAAUCCAUGUGAAGUAUAUAGUGUAGUUCCUGGCAUGAAAAUACUCAAUAAAAGUUAGCUGCAAAAUUAUUAUGCUACAUAAAACCCAAUAGGUCCUAUUACACCAAAAUGGAAGUUUUGGUACAAGGGGACUGUUUCUUCAUUGUGUGGAGAAAUGGCUGGAAACUUAUUUCUUGUUUAAAAAAAUCUGUCUUAACGUCAUUGAUUAGUAAGUUUAAACUGUUUGUCCCCAACUUUAUUUGCUGUAUUUACUCUUUGGUGAAUUGUCAGUUAAUACUUUUCUUGUUUUCUGCAUUCUUUGUAUUUUUUUAGCUAAACUUUUUAUUUUGAGAUAACUGCAUAUUCUUAUGCAGUAAUAAGAAAUAAUACAGAGAGAUUCCAUGUAACCUUUCCCUCAGUUUCCUGAGCAUCUCUGUGUGUGUAUUUAUUUAUUUUUCCAGUCUCUUUCUCUCUCUGGUUCAAAUUGGAUCAUUUCUAUUGUCCUAUCUUCAAAGUCACUAAUUCUUUCUUCUGUCCUCUACAUUCUGUGGUUGAG
RNAcentral lists this long non-coding RNA (4896 nucleotides) under Equus caballus (horse). RNAcentral's name for it is "lncRNA (ENSECAG00000050447.1)". Lineage: Eukaryota; Metazoa; Chordata; Mammalia; Perissodactyla; Equidae. The record is from RNAcentral.